RNAcentral lists this ribosomal RNA (515 nucleotides) under uncultured bacterium. Its description in RNAcentral is "bacterial SSU rRNA". It matches the Rfam family "Bacterial small subunit ribosomal RNA", at positions 15 to 518 of the family's 1533-position model. The record is from RNAcentral.
GAUCCUGGCUUAGGAUGAACGCUAGCUACAGGCUUAACACAUGCAAGUCGAGGGGCAGCAUAAUCGAAGCUUGCUUUGAUUGAUGGCGACCGGCGCACGGGUGAGUAACGCGUAUCCAACCUUCCCCUUAGUAGGGCAUAGCCCGGCGAAAGUCGGAUUAAUACCCUAUGUUAUCCGUCGAGGACAUCUGAAGUGGAUUAAAGAUUUAUCGCUAAGGGAUGGGGAUGCGUCUGAUUAGGUUGUUGGCGGGGUAACGGCCCACCAAGCCUACGAUCAGUAGGGGUUCUGAGAGGAAGGUCCCCCACAUUGGUACUGAGACACGGACCAAACUCCUACGGGAGGCAGCAGUGAGGAAUAUUGGUCAAUGGGCGAGAGCCUGAACCAGCCAAGUAGCGUGCCAGGAUGACGGCCCUAUGGGUUGUAAACUGCUUUUGCAUGGGAAUAAAGUCGGGGACGUGUCCCCGUUUGUAUGUACCAUGAGAAUAAGGACCGGCUAAUUCCGUGCCAGCAGCUGC